GACAGAGGAUGCAAGCGUUAUCCGGAAUGAUUGGGCGUAAAGCGUCUGUAGGUGGCUUUUCAAGUCCGCCGUCAAAUCCCAGGGCUCAACCCGGGACAGGCGGUGGAAACUACCAAGCUAGAGUAUGGUAGGGGCAGAGGGAAUUCCCGGUGGAGCGGUGAAAUGCGUAGAGAUCGGGAAGAACACCAGCGGCGAAAGCGCUCUGCUGGGCCAAGACUGACACUGAGAGACGAAAGCUAGGGGAGCAAAUGGG
This 253-nucleotide ribosomal RNA is filed under the name uncultured bacterium. Its description in RNAcentral is "partial 16S ribosomal RNA". It matches the Rfam family "Bacterial small subunit ribosomal RNA", at positions 524 to 776 of the family's 1533-position model. The record is from RNAcentral.